Molecule: ribosomal RNA, 453 nt
Filed under: uncultured bacterium
Lineage: Bacteria
Description: bacterial SSU rRNA
Rfam family: Bacterial small subunit ribosomal RNA
Source: RNAcentral
CCUACGGGAGGCAGCAGUGGGGAAUCUUGCACAAUGGAGGAAACUCUGAUGCAGCGAUGCCGCGUGAGUGAAGAAGGCCUUUGGGUUGUAAAGCUCUUUUGUAGGGGAAGAUAAUGACUGUACCCUAAGAAUAAGGUCCGGCUAACUUCGUGCCAGCAGCCGCGGUAAUACGAAGGGACCUAGCGUAGUUCGGAAUUACUGGGCGUAAAGCGCGCGUAGGCCGUUGAGUUAGUUAAUUGUGAAAUCCCAAAGCUUAACUUUGGAACUGCAAUUAAAACUGCUCGACUAGAGUUUGAUAGAGGAAAGCGGAAUACAUAGUGUAGAGGUGAAAUUCGUAGAUAUUAUGUAGAACACCAGUUGCGAAGGCGGCUUUCUGGAUCAACACUGACGCUGAGGCGCGAAAGUAUGGGUAGCAAAGAGGAUUAGAUACCCUCGUAGUCCAUACCAUAAACG